Molecule: ribosomal RNA, 843 nt
Filed under: Paecilomyces nostocoides
Lineage: Eukaryota; Fungi; Ascomycota; Eurotiomycetes; Eurotiales; Thermoascaceae
Description: bacterial SSU rRNA
Rfam family: Eukaryotic small subunit ribosomal RNA (bases 1-588)
Source: RNAcentral
GAUUAAGCCAUGCAUGUCUAAGUAUAAGCAAUUAUACCGCGAAACUUUGAUAAUACUUUACUACUUGGAUAACCGUGGUAAUUCUAGAGCUAAUACAUGCUAAAAAUCCCGACUUCGGAAGGGUUGUAUUUAUUAGAUUAAAAACCAAUGCCCCUCGGGGCUCUCUGGUGAAUCAUGAUAACUAGUCGAAUCGACAGGCCUUGUGCCGGCGAUGGCUCAUUCAAAUUUCUUCCCUAUCAACUUUCGAUGUUUGGGUCUUGUCCAAACAUGGUGGCAACGGGUAACGGAGGGUUAGGGCUCGACCCCGAAGAAGGAGCCUGAGAAACGGCUACUACAUCCAAGGGAGGGCAGCAGGCGCGCAAAUCACCCAAUCCCGACACGGGGGAGGUAGUGACAAUAAAUACUGAUACAGGGCUCUUUUGGGUCUUGUAAUCGGAAUGAGUACAAUUUUAAAUCCCUUAACGAGGAACAAUUGGAGGGCAAGUCUCGAGCAGAUUAAGCCAUGCAUGUCUAAGUAUAAGCAAUUAUACCGCGAAACUUUGAUAAUACUUUACUACUUGGAUAACCGUGGUAAUUCUAGAGCUAAUACAUGCUAAAAAUCCCGACUUCGGAAGGGUUGUAUUUAUUAGAUUAAAAACCAAUGCCCCUCGGGGCUCUCUGGUGAAUCAUGAUAACUAGUCGAAUCGACAGGCCUUGUGCCGGCGAUGGCUCAUUCAAAUUUCUUCCCUAUCAACUUUCGAUGUUUGGGUCUUGUCCAAACAUGGUGGCAACGGGUAACGGAGGGUUAGGGCUCGACCCCGAAGAAGGAGCCUGAGAAACGGCUACUACAUCCAAGGGAGGGCA